ACCCGCACAAGCAGCGGAGCAUGUGGUUUAAUUCGAAGCAACGCGAAGAACCUUACCAGGUCUUGACAUCCCUCUGAAUGGCGCUUAGCAGCGCAGGUCCUUCGGGACAGAGGAGACAGGUGGUGCAUGGUUGUCGUCAGCUCGUGUCGUGAGAUGUUGGGUUAAGUCCCGCAACGAGCGCAACCCUUGCCUUUAGUUGCCAGCACGUAAAGGUGGGCACUCUAAAGGGACUGCCGGUGUUAAACCGGAGGAAGGUGGGAUGACGUCAAGUCCUCAUGGCCUUUAUGACCAGGGCUACACACGUACUACAAUGGCCGAUACAAAGGGCAGCGACAUUGCGAAAUGAAGCCAAUCCCAAUAAAUUCGGUCUCAGUCCGGAUUGGAGUCUGCAACUCGACUCCAUGAAGUUGGAAUCGCUAGUAAUCGUGGAUCAGCAUGCCACGGUGAAUACGUUCCCGGGCCUU
This 464-nucleotide ribosomal RNA is filed under the name uncultured Acidaminobacter sp. RNAcentral describes it as "bacterial SSU rRNA". It matches the Rfam family "Bacterial small subunit ribosomal RNA", at positions 919 to 1382 of the family's 1533-position model. Lineage: Bacteria; Bacillati; Bacillota; Clostridia; Peptostreptococcales; Acidaminobacteraceae. The record is from RNAcentral.